RNAcentral lists this ribosomal RNA (439 nucleotides) under uncultured bacterium. RNAcentral describes it as "bacterial SSU rRNA". It matches the Rfam family "Bacterial small subunit ribosomal RNA", at positions 29 to 507 of the family's 1533-position model. The record is from RNAcentral.
AGCGAACGCUGGCGGCAUGCUUAGCACAUGCAAGUCGCACGGGCAGUAGCAAUACUGUCAGUGGCGGACGGGUGAGUAACGCGUAGGAAUCUAUCCUUGAAUGGGGGACAACCGUGGGAAACUACGGCUAAUACCGCAUGAUGCCUGAGGGCCAAAGACGAAAGUCGUUUGAGGAGGAGCCUGCGUCUGAUUAGGUAGUUGGUGGGGUAAAGGCCUACCAAGCCUACGAUCAGUAGCUGGUCUGAGAGGAUGAUCAGCCACAUUGGGACUGAGACACGGCCCAAACUCCUACGGGAGGCAGCAGUGGGGAAUAUUGGACAAUGGGCGCAAGCCUGAUCCAGCAAUGCCGCGUGGGUGAAGAAGGUCUUCGGAUUGUAAAGCACUUUUGGCAGGGACGAUGAUGACGGUACCUGCAGAAUAAGCCCCGGCUAACUUCGUG